Long non-coding RNA from Eubalaena glacialis (North Atlantic right whale), 226 nucleotides. RefSeq lists it as uncharacterized. The transcript is spliced from 3 exons. NCBI's taxonomy places the organism in Eukaryota, Metazoa, Chordata, Mammalia, Artiodactyla, Balaenidae. The record is from RefSeq and is a predicted model, not a curated record.
ACGCUGACUAGGGAACUAGGUUUCCUGAGGACCCAGGUGAUGCCUGAGGAAAAGGUGAAGAGACGGUCGUCCGCAACACGGAGGACAGCGGCUCCUAAUAUAACCUUCCCACAGUGCCUCUAAAUGACAUGUGGACUUUGGGUGAACUGGAUCUGGGUAAUCCACAGGACCCAAGACAUGGUAGCUACUAAUAUACUCUUCCCACGGUGCCUCUUAAUACCAUGCG